CCACUGUGCCCAAUCUAAUUUUUAAUUUUUUUGUUUGUGAGACAGGGUUUCAUCAUGUUAGACAGGAUGGUCUCGAUAUCCUCACCUCGUGCUCUGCGGACAGGCAAGUGUGGGAGCUACAACUGCACCUAGGCCACAAGGAACAAAGGGAGACACAGUGUUAUUGGAACACUCACAAAAUUGCCUUCCCUUUCAUACUGGUCCUGUGCCCUUCAAACAUUCUCACCGUCCUUAGGAUGAACCACUCCUCAGAGCCACGCAAAGACCCCCUGAAGAAGUCAGGACAUUCUCUGUAUGUCCAGCUUGUAUAUGAAUCUCAGGAUGCACACCGCUUGCAUUUAAUGAAGCCCUCCUAUUAUACAGUUGCUACUUCCUGAAUCCUUUCAGUGUGCAGUAUACAUGGUGAGUUGUGGUAACGCUACAAAACUCCCCACCCUCACCGUAAACCACGGAAGGCGUCUGGCCUCUUCCUAUAGCAGAGCUUUGAGAACUUGGGCAUCUUACUCUCCCUAGCCUUCUGUAGCUUUCCUUCUGGGUAGGUUCAGAAGAGCGAUGCAUUCUUGUGUUUUCGUGAAGAAUUACAUGUCAUAUACCAUUUAUGAUGGUACGAACUAAGAAAAGAUAGGAAGUUACCA
Molecule: long non-coding RNA, 635 nt
Filed under: Pan troglodytes (chimpanzee)
Lineage: Eukaryota; Metazoa; Chordata; Mammalia; Primates; Hominidae
Description: long non-coding RNA NONPTRT013033
Source: RNAcentral